UCUCUCUUCCAGACAAAAGCAAAUGAUUUAAUUUUGAAUUAAAUUUUGAAAAUCAUUCUGUGCUUGGUAUUCCAGCUAGAUGAUGAGACUCUGUGACUCACAAAGUUUCUUGAGUUUUUCUGURUUUUGUUUCAUUACCUCUCAAACAAAAGUAUUGGAUCGAACAUUUCAGCAGUCUGCAGGUUAAACAAUGAAGAAUAUUCUUCACUCUCAGGCCAUUUUGUGGUUUAACAAAGAUGAAACCUUGUGCAAAGCUGACCCAUGGCAGCUCCUCUCUCCCAUCCCCUCUGCUUGGGGGGCACAUCAUGAGGUAAAAGAAAAGUCAAUCUUGUCUAACCAAAUUCACCUCCCACUAGAAGGAGGAAACAUGUGGGAGGCUUCUGUGUUGCUCAGGUGCUUCAACCGUGAAACUUCGUUUUUCACUAUAACCCCCUUUUUUUCACCCUGCAGUGUCUCUCCUGCCUGGCUGYCCAAUGGAGAUUUAAGGAAAUACGGCACGUACCCUCGAAUUUCACUUUCAGAAACCAGCUGUCAGGUUAUCAGGCUGAGAGAUGAUCCGUUCAAUCUGCUGGGUUUCUGGUGAUGUGCAUGCCAAACAUCACAGGAUCAUCAUGAGCUGGAAUCCAAUGCAUUGAAAGCAAGCUGGAUGARCAGAGGCUCUCAGCAGAAGCAGGGAACAGCCUUCUGUACGUGUCAGCAYGAACUAGAACACUUCCUAGCUUGACCUGCUUCCAGCAGAAUAAACACAGAUGCCUGAAAUGUGAGUUAAAAAUUGUA
Molecule: long non-coding RNA, 777 nt
Organism: Malurus melanocephalus (red-backed fairy wren)
Lineage: Eukaryota; Metazoa; Chordata; Aves; Passeriformes; Maluridae
Exons: 3
Source: RefSeq, a predicted model, not a curated record